GACGAACGCUGGCGGCGUGCUUAACACAUGCAAGUCGAGCGGUAAGGCCCUUUCGGGGGUACACGAGCGGCGAACGGGUGAGUAACACGUGGGUGACCUGCCUUUAGCUCUGGGAUAAGCCUGGGAAACCGGGUCUAAUACCGGAUAUGACUCCGCGGCGCAUGUUGUGGGGUGGAAAGCCUUGUGCGGCUGGAGAUGGGCCCGCGGCCUAUCAGCUUGUUGGUGGGGUGAUGGCCUACCAAGGCGACGACGGGUAGCCGGCCUGAGAGGGCGACCGGCCACACUGGGACUGAGACACGGCCCAGACUCCUACGGGAGGCAGCAGUGGGGAAUCUUGCGCAAUGGGCGAAAGCCUGACGCAGCGACGCCGCGUGAGGGAUGACGGCCUCGGUUGUAACC
RNAcentral lists this ribosomal RNA (399 nucleotides) under uncultured bacterium. RNAcentral's name for it is "bacterial SSU rRNA". It matches the Rfam family "Bacterial small subunit ribosomal RNA", at positions 28 to 430 of the family's 1533-position model. The record is from RNAcentral.